RNA transcript from Carlito syrichta (Philippine tarsier), 1001 nucleotides. It is a transcript of the gene named COP9 signalosome complex subunit 8 pseudogene, with no coding region annotated. The record is from RefSeq and is a predicted model, not a curated record. The transcript has a single exon. NCBI's taxonomy places the organism in Eukaryota, Metazoa, Chordata, Mammalia, Primates, Tarsiidae.
GGUCUGGGGUCCGGGGUGGUGCGGCGGCGAGACUGACUGGGAAGAUGUCAGUGGUGGUGAUGGUGGAAAGUGCCUUCCGUUUCAAAAAGUUGCUGGAUCAGUGCGAGAACCAGGAACUCGAGGCUCCUGGAGGAAUUGCUACACCCCCAGUGUAUGGUCAGCUUCUAGCUUUAUAUUUGCUCCAUAAUGACAUGAAUAAUGCAAGAUAUCUUUGGAAAAGAAUUCCACCUGCUAUAAAAUCUGCAAAUUCUGAACUUGGGGGAAUUUGGCCAGUAGGACAGAGAAUCCAGCAGAGAGAUUUCCCUGGGAUCUACACGACCAUCAGUGCUCACCAGUGGUCUGAGACAGUCCAGCCAAUCAUCGAAGCACUUAGAGAUGCGACAAGGAGAGGAGCCUUCGCCCUGUUCUCCCAAGCAUACACCUCAAUAGUAGCCGAUGACUUUGCAGCCUUCAUUGGACUUCCUGUAGAAGAGGCUGUGAAAGGUAUAUUAGAACAAGGAUGGCAAGCCGACUCCACCACAAGAAUUGUUCUGCCCAGAAAGCCAGUUGCAGGGGCCCUGGAUACUUCCUUUAAUAAGUUUACUCCGUUUCAGAGCCUACACCAGUUCCCCCAAUCCCUAAUGAACAGCAGUUAGCCAGACUGACCGAUUAUGUGGCUUUCCUUGAAAACUGAUUUAUCACCCUGAGUUCAAGAUCCACCUUCAGAAUUCUGCAUACUGACAAAUAUAGAAAUGUAAAAUGUUUAUUUUCAAUUUAUUAGAUGGAUUAAGCACUUCAGCAUUCCUUACUGAGUAUGAGAUAUGAUACAUAUAUAAGGUAUAUUAUAUGUGUUUUGUCCUAAAACAUUAUGCUGAAUAGUUGUUGAAACAAUGCUCAUUUUGUAAUAUUUAACGAUCUGGAUGGAGCCCAUCAGUGUUAUGGGGUUAGUUUAUAUUUUGUGGUGACUCAUAAAAUAAGAUCUCCUGUUUCAUGUAGAACAGUAGUUGUCAACUUUCUUUUCC